UUAUACUUUUUUACUGCCUCUCUGG
This 25-nucleotide non-coding RNA is filed under the name Rattus norvegicus (Norway rat). Lineage: Eukaryota; Metazoa; Chordata; Mammalia; Rodentia; Muridae. The record is from RNAcentral.